GGGCGCUUAGCUCAGUUGGAAGAGUGCUUCGUUUGCAACGAAGAUGCCGGGGGUUCAAAUCCCCCAGCGUCCACCA
Molecule: transfer RNA, 76 nt
Filed under: Deltaproteobacteria bacterium
Lineage: Bacteria; Pseudomonadati; Myxococcota; Myxococcia
Also listed under: 2 other names
Description: tRNA-Ala
Rfam family: tRNA
About the family: Transfer RNA (tRNA) molecules are approximately 80 nucleotides in length. Their secondary structure includes four short double-helical elements and three loops (D, anti-codon, and T loops).
Source: RNAcentral